ACGCUCGACACCUACGGGGAGGCAGCAGGUGGGGAAUAUUGCACAAGUGGGGGAAACCCUGAUGCAGCGACGCCGCGUGGAGGAAGAAGGUCUUCGGAUUGUAAACUCCUGUUGUUAGGGGAAAAAGAGGAUGGUACCCAACAAGGAAGUGACGGCUAACUACGUGUCAGCAGCCGCGGUAAUCUGAGCGGGCUGGCAAGGC
RNAcentral lists this ribosomal RNA (202 nucleotides) under uncultured bacterium. Its description in RNAcentral is "partial 16S ribosomal RNA". It matches the Rfam family "Bacterial small subunit ribosomal RNA", at positions 328 to 539 of the family's 1533-position model. The record is from RNAcentral.